GACGAACGCUGGCGGCGUGCUUAACACAUGCAAGUCGAACGGAAAGGCCCCUUUGGGGGUACUCGAGUGGAGCACGGGUGAGUAACACGUGAGUAACCUGCCCUUGACUUCGGGAUAACUUCAGGAAACUGGGGCUAAUACCUGAUAGGAAUCCUUGCUGCAUGGUGGGGGUUGGAAAGCUUCGGCGGUUUUGGAUGGACUCGCGGCUUAUCAGCUUGUUGGUGGGGUAGUGGCUUACCAGGGCUUUGACGGGUAGCCGGACUGAGAGAGCGACCGGCCACACAGGGACUGAGAGAAGGCCGAGGUGCGGAAGGGUGGAAGAAGUGGGGAAUAUUGAUCAAGGGGCGGAGGCCGGAUGCAGCAACGCCGCGGGCGGGAUGAUGGCUUUCGGGUUGAAAAACGCUUUCAGCAGAGGAGAAGCUUGUGGUGACGUUACCUGCAGAAGAAGCACCGGCUAACUCCGUG
This 465-nucleotide ribosomal RNA is filed under the name uncultured bacterium. RNAcentral's name for it is "partial 16S ribosomal RNA". It matches the Rfam family "Bacterial small subunit ribosomal RNA", at positions 28 to 507 of the family's 1533-position model. The record is from RNAcentral.